GAGGAAUAUUGGCCAAUGGGUGAGAGCCUGAUCCAGCCAUCCCGCGUGAAGGACGACGGCCCUAUGGGUUGUAAACUGCUUUUGUACGGGAAGAAACAGUGCUUCGUGAAGCACCUUGACGGUACCGUAAGAAUAAGGAUCGGCUAACUCCGUGCCAGCAGCCGCGGUAAUACGGAGGAUCCAAGCGUUAUCCGGAAUCAUUGGGUUUAAAGGGUCCGUAGGCGGCCUUAUAAGUCAGUGGUGAAAACUCCCGGCUCAACCGGGAAAUUGCCAUUGAUACUGUAGGGCUUGAAUUAUUGGGAAGUAACUAGAAUAUGUAGGGUAGCGGUGAAAUGCUUAGAGAUUACAUGGAAUACCGAUUGCGAAGGCAGGUUACUACCAAUACAUUGACGCUGAUGGACGAAAGCGUGGGUAGCGAACAGGAUUAGAUACCCUGGUAGUCCACGCCGUAAACGAUGGAUACUAGCUGUUGGGCGCAAGCUCAGUGGCUAAGCGAAAGUGAUAAGUAUCCCACCUGGGGAGUACGAACGCAAGUUUG
Molecule: ribosomal RNA, 538 nt
Filed under: uncultured bacterium
Lineage: Bacteria
Description: bacterial SSU rRNA
Rfam family: Bacterial small subunit ribosomal RNA
Source: RNAcentral